UCAGAGUCAGAUGCAGAAGGAGAAUCAUAAUCAUAGACACAGGCAGAAGAAGUAGUGUUCACAUAGCCAAAAUAGGUAGACAUGAGAAAGAAGGGGGGAAAGAAGAAUACAAUGCAAAUAUGCAACUAAAGCUACCUAAAUGCAACACACAAUGAAGAACACACAAAACAGAACAUCACACUCACAACACAAGACAAAACACAACACACACUAACACAACAAAACACCUAAAACUGAACCGUUGGUCCCCGGCAAUGGUGCCAAAAUUU
This 269-nucleotide long non-coding RNA is filed under the name Vigna radiata. RNAcentral's name for it is "long non-coding RNA (VRAD_LNC004919)". Lineage: Eukaryota; Viridiplantae; Streptophyta; Magnoliopsida; Fabales; Fabaceae. The record is from RNAcentral.